RNAcentral lists this ribosomal RNA (490 nucleotides) under uncultured bacterium. RNAcentral's name for it is "partial 16S ribosomal RNA". It matches the Rfam family "Bacterial small subunit ribosomal RNA", at positions 30 to 507 of the family's 1533-position model. The record is from RNAcentral.
AUUGAACGCUGGCGGCAGGCCUAACACAUGCAAGUCGAACGGUAACAGGAAGAAGCUUGCUUCUUUGCUGACGAGUGGCGGACGGGUGAGUAAUGUCUGGGAAACUGCCUGAUGGAGGGGGAUAACUACUGGAAACGGUAGCUAAUACCGCAUAACGUCGCAAGACCAAAAAGGGGGACCUUCGGGCCUCUUGCCAUCGGAUGUGCCCAGAUGGGAUUAGCUAGUAGGUGGGGUAACGGCUCACCUAGGCGACGAUCCCUAGCUGGUCCGAGAGGAUGACCAGCCACACUGGAACUGAGACACGGUCCAGACUCCUACGGGAGGCAGCAGUGGGGAAUAUUGCACAAUGGGCGCAAGCCCGAUGCAGCCAUGCCACGUGUAUGAAGAAGGCCUUCGGGUUGUAAAGUACUUUCAGCAGGGAGGAAGGGAGUAAAGUUAAUACCUUUGCUCAUUGACGUUACCCGCAGAAGAAGCACCGGCUAACUCCGUG